Molecule: ribosomal RNA, 277 nt
Filed under: uncultured eukaryote
Lineage: Eukaryota
Description: partial 18S ribosomal RNA
Rfam family: Eukaryotic small subunit ribosomal RNA
Source: RNAcentral
UAGUCAUAUGCUUGUUUAAAAGAUUAAGCCAUGCAUGUGUAAGUAUAGAGCAUUUCUAGCUUGAAACUGCGAACGGCUCAUUAAAUCAGUUAUAAUCUACUUGAUUGUAUUGAAAUUACUAGGAUAUUUAAAGUAAUUCUUUAAUUAAUACUUGAGAAAAAUCUUGACUUGAGAAAAGGAAGAGAUGUAUUUAUUAGAUCCAAAAUCAAUGUGUGGGAGGUAAAACUCUCAUUCAAAAAAAAUGAUGAUUCAUAAUAACUAGACGAAGCGCAAGAAU